This 453-nucleotide ribosomal RNA is filed under the name uncultured organism. Its description in RNAcentral is "partial 16S ribosomal RNA". It matches the Rfam family "Bacterial small subunit ribosomal RNA", at positions 330 to 799 of the family's 1533-position model. The record is from RNAcentral.
CGUACACUCCUACGGGAGGCAGCAGUGGGGAAUAUUGGACAAUGGGGGCAACCCUGAUCCAGCCAUGCCGCGUGAGUGAUGAAGGCCCUAGGGUUGUAAAGCUCUUUUGUGCGGGAAGAUAAUGACGGUACCGCAAGAAUAAGCCCCGGCUAACUUCGUGCCAGCAGCCGCGGUAAUACGAAGGGGGCUAGCGUUGCUCGGAAUCACUGGGCGUAAAGGGUGCGUAGGCGGGUCUUUAAGUCAGGGGUGAAAUCCUGGAGCUCAACUCCAGAACUGCCUUUGAUACUGAGGAUCUUGAGUCCGGAAGAGGUGAGUGGAACUGCGAGUGUAGAGGUGAAAUUCGUAGAUAUUCGCAAGAACACCAGUGGCGAAGGCGGCUCACUGGUCCGGUACUGACGCUGAGGCACGAAAGCGUGGGGAGCAAACAGGAUUAGAAACCCCUGUAGUCCCAUG